GGAAUUUUGGACAAUGGGGGCAACCCUGAUCCAGCCAUGCCGCGUGUGUGAAGAAGGCCUUCGGGUUGUAAAGCACUUUCGGACGGAACGAAAUCGCGCGAUCCAAUACAUCGCGUGGAUGACGGUACCGUAAGAAGAAGCACCGGCUAACUACGUGCCAGCAGCCGCGGUAAUACGUAGGGUGCGAGCGUUAAUCGGAAUUACUGGGCGUAAAGUGUGCGCAGGCGGCCGCGCAAGUCGAGUGUGAAAGCCCCGGGCUUAACUUGGGAAUUGCGCUCGAAACUACGUGGCUGGAGUAUGGCAGAGGAAGGUGGAAUUCCACGUGUAGCGGUGAAAUGCGUAGAGAUGUGGAGGAACACCGAUGGCGAAGGCAGCCUUCUGGGCCAAUACUGACGCUCAUGCACGAAAGCGUGGGGAGCAAACAGGAUUAGAUACCCCUG
Molecule: ribosomal RNA, 440 nt
Filed under: uncultured bacterium
Lineage: Bacteria
Description: bacterial SSU rRNA
Rfam family: Bacterial small subunit ribosomal RNA
Source: RNAcentral